Molecule: long non-coding RNA, 570 nt
Filed under: Arabidopsis thaliana (thale cress)
Lineage: Eukaryota; Viridiplantae; Streptophyta; Magnoliopsida; Brassicales; Brassicaceae
Description: long non-coding RNA (ATHA_LNC000110)
Source: RNAcentral
UCUUGGAUCAGCAUCAACAUCUGCGGUGAUCUACACAAUAAGAAAUACAAAGAGUGAGGAUUGUGUCACGGUACAUAUAUGAAAAAUAGAGGUUUUCUUAACUUACUUCAUCCAAUCUCGGUAAAGGAUGCAUGAUAAUAGCUUUUUUCUGCAUCACUCCUAACAGAUCCUUGUCUACGAUAUACUUCCCACGAGCUGCUUCGUAAAGGUCCAGCCUUUCUCCAAACCUCUCUCUUUGGAUUCGUGUUUGAUAAACUACAUCACACUUGGAUGCUACUUCCAUUAAAUCUGAACUUUCUUCCCAUUCAACCCCGCUUGAUGUCAAAUAGUCUUUUAUAUCAUCCUACCAUUAAAAGAACACACUGAAAAUGGUAAGGAACAUACACAAUGAUGUUCUCGAGUAAACCAAACCAUCUUCUUCAGGUUCUCUCAUGGAGGGUGGCAAGUUUAGUGCUACUAACCUUCAUUUUCACAAUUUCAGGGGAAACAAAGUAGAUCUUCACGUCUUUGAACUUGGCAAGCAAGUAUGCAAGAGACCGCACAGUCCUUCCGUUGGCAAGGUCUCCAACU